ACUCCUACGGGAGGCAGCAGUGGGGAAUAUUGGACAAUGGGCGCAAGCCUGAUCCAGCAAUGCCGCGUGAGGGAUGAAGGCCUUCGGGUUGUAAACCUCUUUCAGUAGGGAAGAAGCGAAAGUGACGGUACCUACAGAAGAAGCACCGGCUAACUAUGUGCCAGCAGCCGCGGUAAU
Molecule: ribosomal RNA, 177 nt
Filed under: uncultured bacterium
Lineage: Bacteria
Description: partial 16S ribosomal RNA
Rfam family: Bacterial small subunit ribosomal RNA
Source: RNAcentral